Molecule: ribosomal RNA, 498 nt
Filed under: uncultured bacterium
Lineage: Bacteria
Description: bacterial SSU rRNA
Rfam family: Bacterial small subunit ribosomal RNA
Source: RNAcentral
UGGGGAAUAUUGGACAAUGGGCGCAAGCCUGAUCCAGCCAUGCCGCGUGAGUGAUGACGGCCUUAGGGUUGUAAAGCUCUUUUAUCCGGGACGAUAAUGACGGUACCGGAUGAAUAAGCCCCGGCUAACUUCGUGCCAGCAGCCGCGGUAAUACGAAGGGGGCUAGCGUUGCUCGGAAUCACUGGGCGUAAAGGGCGCGUAGGCGGCUGAUCAAGUCGAGGGGUGAAAGCCCGUGGCUCAACCACGGAAUGGCCUUCGAUACUGGUUGGCUUGAGACCGGAAGAGGACAGCGGAACUGCGAGUGUAGAGGUGAAAUUCGUAGAUAUUCGCAAGAACACCAGUGGCGAAGGCGGCUGUCUGGUCCGGUUCUGACGCUGAGGCGCGAAAGCGUGGGGAGCAAACAGGAUUAGAUACCCUGGUAGUCCACGCUGUAAACGAUGAAUGCUAGCCGUUGGGGUGCAUGCACCUCAGUGGCGCCGCUAACGCAUUAAGCAUUCC